RNAcentral lists this microRNA (21 nucleotides) under Corchorus capsularis. Its description in RNAcentral is "sRNA CCACVL1_08643". The record is from RNAcentral. Lineage: Eukaryota; Viridiplantae; Streptophyta; Magnoliopsida; Malvales; Malvaceae.
UUAAUGAUGAACAUAUAAUUU